This 1685-nucleotide long non-coding RNA is filed under the name Sarcophilus harrisii (Tasmanian devil). Its description in RNAcentral is "lncRNA (ENSSHAG00000023426.1)". The record is from RNAcentral. Lineage: Eukaryota; Metazoa; Chordata; Mammalia; Dasyuromorphia; Dasyuridae.
CAAGUACCCUUCACAUAAGUAUGCAUGAGCCAAUGCCUAAUAUUUUGAAAAUGAGAUCAGACCAAAAGGGCUGGGAAGCUCUUAACUGCAGCCUCCAAUAGAAAGGAUUAAAGAAAGAUGAAGGGAUAACUGCCUGAGGAGAUUGUCACUGCGCGCCCACGGGGAGGAACUCUUCAGUCAAUUCAGAGACUUGCAUAGAAAGGCUUCUAAGAAAUCUGCUUUGGGUUGUGACAAUAUCUUCAGAUUCUUCCCGAGACAGUUCCAAUGGAAGUGAUUCAGUUUCCCGGCGUGGGGCUGGGAGACCGUCCAGGUUACAACAAUGAGGUCAGCACAAUGGCUCCCAGCCCAUGGCUGUCCACGAGGAAUACUGACCACCAGUGCUUCCAGAACGCAGCAAUGGCCACCCCUCUCUGCUACAAGCAGGCUCACAGUCCAGUCUGAGGUAUUGCUUAUUCAAUUUGACAGAUUCAAGCCCCCAUCCAAGCCAACCAUCCAAUGACUGAGCUAAUCCGAGUUAAAUAAUUUGUGCAACUAGGGCAAAAGGCACUUAAAAAACCCACACGGAAUAGAGCAUAAAGAGCAAAAAAAAUUAAAUCAGUUAAUAGGGAUUCUCAACAUCCAUUCCCUAAAUGAUGUCACCUCCAAAUAUUUCCCAGGAAUACUAGUCAACUCCCAAUUAUGGGGUGUUCAGGGCGGACUAGCACCUCUGGUAUGAGAGCAACUGAGUCCUUUUCAUGGCUGUUCAUCUACUUUUAGUGUCCACCUGACACUCAACUGUCACCCGUGGCUCCAAAAAGCUGUAACACAUGUAGUAACCAAACCCUGGUAAAUCAUCUGAGGAGAUAGAUUGAGAGUAACCAAAGGGCCACAAAUCUGUUGAUGAGUUAGAGGAAGGGGUGUCGACACUAAGCAUAGAAAAACUUUCCCCUUGCAGAAUUGGCAAAUGUGAGUUAUUUGUUCCAAUGACCAUGAAGAUGAUGGAAAGAGAUGCUUCCCUUCCCUUCCUUUCCCUUCCCUUCCUUUCCCUUUCCCUUUUCCUUUCCCCUUUCCUUUCUCUUUUCCUUUCCCUUUCCCUUUUUCUUUCCCUUUCCCUUUCCCUUUUUUCCCCCUUUCCCUUUCCCUUCUUCCCUCCUUCCUUCCUACUUUCAUUCUUUCCUCCUCUCUUUCUUUUCCUUCCUUUCUUCCUUCCUUCCCUCUUUCUUUUUUCAAGGACAUUUACCCUAAUGGCACAGGAAAAGCAACAAUUCCCCAAACCAGAGGCACAUUCACCCAUAAAUAUAUAUAGACUAUAGGUUGCUAGGAGUUGCCGUGGAUAGAGUACCGCAGUCAGGAAGACCUUAGUUCAAAUCCAGCCUCAGACAUUUGCAAGCUAUGUGAUCCUGGGCAAGUCACUUCUCUUCUGCCUGCUUCGUUUCUUCAAUUGUAGAGUGGGGAUCAUAAAAAUACCUUUCUAUUUGGGUUGCUAAGAUCAAAUGAGAUAACAUUUGUAAAAUGCUUAACAUAAUGUCUAGCAUAUAGUUGGUGCUUAAUAAAUGCUUAUUCCCUUCUCUUCCCUGAAAAAAAGAGUGAACAUGAAUUUAAAGCAUUAUAAUACUUAGGCAUAUGUGGAGAAAACAGAUGGGACUAAGGCAAUUCACAAUGCUGAAACUAUAGGGGUCUUGUCUUUUGCUUUUCUUUUUUCUGAG